RNAcentral lists this ribosomal RNA (201 nucleotides) under uncultured bacterium. Its description in RNAcentral is "partial 16S ribosomal RNA". It matches the Rfam family "Bacterial small subunit ribosomal RNA", at positions 1300 to 1500 of the family's 1533-position model. The record is from RNAcentral.
GUAGUCUGCAACUCGACUACAUGAAGCUGGAAUCGCUAGUAAUCGCAGAUCAGAAUGCUGCGGUGAAUACGUUCCCGGGUCUUGUACACACCGCCCGUCACACCAUGGGAGUCGGAAAUGCCCGAAGCCGGUGACCCAACCAAAAGGAGGGAGCCGUCGAAGGCAGGUCUGAUAACUGGGGUGAAGUCGUAACAAGGUAGC